GGUAAUGCUGUGCACUCUAGACAGACUGCCGUGGACAACACGGAGGAAGUGGGAUGACGUCAAGUCCUCAUGGCCUUUAUGUCCAGGGCUACACACGUGCUACAAUGGUGGUACAAAGAGCCGCGAACUCGCGAGAGCAAGCAAAUCUCAAAAAACCAUCCUCAGUUCGGAUUGGAGUCUGCAACUCGACUCCAUGAAGCUGGAAUCGCUAGUAAUCGCGGAUCAGCAUGCCGCGGUGAAUACGUUCCCGGGCCUU
RNAcentral lists this ribosomal RNA (256 nucleotides) under uncultured Syntrophus sp. RNAcentral's name for it is "partial 16S ribosomal RNA". It matches the Rfam family "Bacterial small subunit ribosomal RNA", at positions 1124 to 1382 of the family's 1533-position model. The record is from RNAcentral. Lineage: Bacteria; Pseudomonadati; Thermodesulfobacteriota; Syntrophia; Syntrophales; Syntrophaceae.